AUGGCAAGGGAGUGGCUCAAAUUCUUCACAUUGCCCCUGCUCUGCCUGCACCCCCACCCCCACCCCAGGCAAGCGGUUUCUACAGGAUUAUGUCAUUUUUGGUGGAAAGGAUCAAAGAAGUGGAAGGUGGAAAAUCAAUGGAAAGAGUGGAGAGCGCUGAUGCGAAAAGAGCAAGAGCCAGACAAGAAUACCGGGAGAGAGAAGAACAAAGCUUUUCCCUCUCUGCUUCUGGAAUGUAAAUAUUAUCUCAGUUUGAAGAUAGAAGAGGGGCAAAGAACAACAGAUGCUUUCAUUCAACAGUACUUACCAAGUGGCCACUUUGAAUUAGGCCCAUAUGAAUCCAGUCAAAGCACCAUCAGGGGCUGCCAAAACUAGAAGAUCCCAGAUGUCCUGGUGCAGGAGGUGAAUAUCUUCUCAACUGAAGACAUGGAAACAACUUAAAUGUCCAUCGACAGAUGCAUGGAUUAAGAAGAUAUGGUAUAUACACACAAUGGAAUAGUACUCAGCCAUAAAAGAGAACAAAAUAAUGACACUUGCAGCAACAUAUAUGGAACUAGAGACUCUCAUACUAAGUGAGGUAAGUCAGAAUGAGAAAGACAAAUACCAUAUGAUAUCACUUAUACAUGGAAUCUAAUAUAUGGUACAAAUGAACCUUUCUACAGGAAAAAAAACUCAUGGACAUAGAGAACAGACUUGUGGUUGCCAAGGAUGGGAGAAGGGAGUGGGAUAGACUGGGAAUCUGGGGUUAAUAGAUGUAAACUAUUGUCUUUGGAACAGAUAAGCAAUGAGAUCCUGCUGUAUAGCACUAGGAACUCUUACCUAGUCACUUAUGAUGGAUCAUGAUGGAGAAUAAUAUGAGAAAAAGAAUGUAUAUACGUGUGUAACUGGGUCACUUUGCUGUACAGUAGAAAAUUGACAGAACACUGUAAACCAGCUAUAAUGGAAAACAUAAAAAUCAUUAAAAAAAAAAAAAAAAAAAGAUCAGACAUGUCAAGAGCUAACCAGAGUACAGCCCAGCAGUGUUAAGUCCCCGGAACCUCUGCAAACCUCAUCUGAAUGCACUACUAAUUUCAUUUCUUACCCUAGUGGUCUCUUCAGCCUUUCUCAAACUUUGCCUUACACUCUUCCCUUUGCUGACAGUGCGUUUCUUCUCACUCAACUACUGAAGGGAAAAAAAUCCGCCUUUCAAGAUCGAAUCUAAAGGACACAUCUCCUCUGGUCCUCUCUUCCAGUUCCCUUGAUCCCAGUAAGCCCACUGUUGCUUACUCGUACCUUGCUGGUUACAAGGUACAGAUGCACCAUAAGUACAUAUUUGCCUGCGAUGCCCACUAGACUGUGAAACGCAGUAAUUCUUAAACCCUCAGCACUUAGCUUGGUGCCUGGCACAUGAUAGGUGGUUAAUAUAUAUACAUACAUAAACACGUAAGUUUUCUUCUCACUGCCACACCUGUGGCAAAUGGAAGUCCCCCUGUCAGCCGUGAAAUCUGGAGUUGCAGCUGCGGCCUAUGCCACAGCCACCUGGCAACACCUUAACCCACUGAGCAAGGACAGGAAUAGAACCCACAUCCUAAAAGAGACCACGGUAUGUCCUUAACCCACUGGGCCACAAUGGGAACUCCUAUCUAUGAUUUUUCUUAAUGCCUAGGUAGAAUGGAUGCACUCACGCUUGGAAGACUGGAUGCAGGAGUGUGCUUCGGAAUAAGCGAUGGGCUCACGAAAACUAUAUGGUCGUCCUAGCGAACCUUUCUCAGUCCCCCGCCCAGGGACAAGUGCUUAGGGAUGAUGGCCUCCCUCUGAGGUCCAGCGGGUGCCUACGCUUAGGCGCGCAGCUCCGCAGGGCACCAGCAGGGGGCGGCGUUGCCCCGCAGCUGGCUGCUCCGCGGGUGACUGUUC
RNAcentral lists this long non-coding RNA (1893 nucleotides) under Sus scrofa (pig). Its description in RNAcentral is "lncRNA (ENSSSCG00025011119.1)". The record is from RNAcentral. Lineage: Eukaryota; Metazoa; Chordata; Mammalia; Artiodactyla; Suidae.